This is a long non-coding RNA of Octodon degus (degu), 577 nucleotides long. RefSeq lists it as uncharacterized. The transcript is spliced from 3 exons. Lineage: Eukaryota; Metazoa; Chordata; Mammalia; Rodentia; Octodontidae. The record is from RefSeq and is a predicted model, not a curated record.
GGACAGAGAAGCUACAAGGACAGAGCUGGCAGGCAGGGGUGGCAGUCACGGGGAAGGGUAUCCCUAGAGAAGUGACGUACACGGACAGCAUCUCCCCGUCCUCUGCAACCCUAGAGUCUCACCUCAUAAAUACUGGGGACAAAAGAAAGCAGACAGUGCUGCACAGCGACUCGGCGGCACAGCACUCACCACGCAUGCUCAAGGUCCUGGGUUCUGCUUACGGUAAAAAAGACAGACAGAAGAAUACACAUUGUAUAAGGACAUUCUGAAGAGUAGAGAAACUAAAACCUGGUGAGAGAAGUUGGACAACGGGCUUCCAGGUUUACGAAGAAUUAACUUUCUCAAAUUUUGUCUACAAAAUUUUUGAAGUAUCAUGCUUUCGCUGACAGACUAAGAAUGCAAGUCAUUCACCAUGACUCUGCAGCACAUCCCACCCCUCCUGCCAGCUCCUGACCCCUACUUUCCUAUCUCCCACACCAGAAGUGUGGUUUCUUCUCAGCCUUCCACACCCCAUCCUUCCCCUGGUUCUCACCUCAACUUCUCUGUUGUUUCUGCAGACACCUCUUUGUACACAGGC